RNAcentral lists this ribosomal RNA (460 nucleotides) under uncultured bacterium. RNAcentral's name for it is "partial 16S ribosomal RNA". It matches the Rfam family "Bacterial small subunit ribosomal RNA", at positions 338 to 795 of the family's 1533-position model. The record is from RNAcentral.
CCUACGGGGGGCAGCAGUGAGGAAUAUUGGUCAAUGGCCGAGAGGCUGAACCAGCCAAGUCGCGUGAAGGAAGACGGAUCUAUGGUUUGUAAACUUCUUUUAUAGGGGAAUAAAGUGAGUAACGUGUUACUUUUUGUAUGUACCAGAUGAAAAAGCAUCGGCUAACUCCGUGCCAGCAGCCACGGUAAUACGGAGGAUGCGAGCGUUAUCCGGUUUUAUUGGGUUUAAAGGGUGCGGAAGUGGGUAAUUAAGUCAGCCGUGAAAGUUGGUGGCUCAACCAUAAAAUUGCCGUUGAAACUGGAUGACUUGAGUAUAUGUGAGGUAUGCGGAAUGCGUGGUGUAGCGGUGAAAUGCAUAGAUAUCACGCAGAACUCCGAUUGCGAAGGCAGCUUACUAACCUAUAACUGACACUGAUGCACGAAAGCGUGGGGAUCAAACAGGAUUAGAUACCCGGGUAGUC